CCCUUAGAUGUCCGGGGCUGCACGCGCGCUACACUGAAGGAAUCAGCGUGCUAAAACCAUUGUCGAAAGGCAUUGGUAAACCCAUUAAAAUCCUACGUGAUUGGGAUCGGGAAUUGCAAUUAUUUCCCUUGAACGAGGAAUUCCCAGUAAGUGUGGGUCGUAAGCUCGCGUUGAUUACGUCCCUGCCCUUUGUACACACCGCCCGUCGCUGCCCGGGACUGAGCCGUUUCGAGAAAAGCGGGGACUGCUGCUGUCGGGGCUUUCGGGCCUUGGCUUCGGUGGAAACCGCUUUAAUCGCAGUGGCUUGAACCGGGCAAAANUCGUANCA
This 328-nucleotide ribosomal RNA is filed under the name uncultured eukaryote. RNAcentral describes it as "partial 18S ribosomal RNA". It matches the Rfam family "Eukaryotic small subunit ribosomal RNA", at positions 1470 to 1796 of the family's 1831-position model. The record is from RNAcentral.